Gossypium arboreum is the source of this 440-nucleotide long non-coding RNA. RefSeq lists it as uncharacterized. The record is from RefSeq and is a predicted model, not a curated record. The transcript has 3 exons. NCBI's taxonomy places the organism in Eukaryota, Viridiplantae, Streptophyta, Magnoliopsida, Malvales, Malvaceae.
UACAUACUUGUUAUAAUUGUUCUUCUUUUGCCGAAACUAAACAAAAUAAAAAGAAAGAACACAAAGCUAGGGUUCGGCCAAUUUGGAGCUUAACUAAGAUCAAGAACCAAAGAAAUCAGAUUUGGACCGGGGAAAAACGAAAGUUGCCGACUAGUAGCCACGUCCUGUUUUACGACGUCUGAGAUUUUGAAGUCAAGCUGCAAGCUCGGGGAUCGUUAGCCAAGUUCAUCACACUAUCUACUGUUUUGGUACCUUUAAACUAAACUUGAAUUAUGGCAUGUAUAGUCUGGUUUUGAGGUUAAAUAUUUUGGAAAUGAAUGUAUAUAUAUGCCAUGUGAAAAUGGCUUAAUCAUCUUGCUUGGGAUUGGUUAUGUUUGCUUGUGGUUUGUGUUCAUUUUAGCUAUGGUAUUUUGUACUAUAAAUGAGUAGUAUUUAUGCUA